AACCUAGCACACCUGCGGUGUGUACCUGCGGAGGGAUCAUUGCUGGAACGCGCUUCGGCGCACCCAGAAACCCUUUGUGAACUUAUACCUAUUUGUUGCCUCGGCGUAGGCCGGCCUCUUCACUGAGGCCCCCUGGAAACAGGGAGCAGCCCGCCGGCGGCCAACUAAACUCUUGUUUCUAUAGUGAAUCUCUGAGUAAAAACAUAAAUGAAUCAAAACUUUCAACAAUGGAUCUCAGAU
This 240-nucleotide unclassified non-coding RNA is filed under the name soil metagenome. RNAcentral's name for it is "partial contains 5.8S ribosomal RNA, internal transcribed spacer 2, and large subunit ribosomal RNA". The record is from RNAcentral.